Myotis davidii is the source of this 75-nucleotide non-coding RNA. The record is from Rfam. Lineage: Eukaryota; Metazoa; Chordata; Mammalia; Chiroptera; Vespertilionidae.
GGCGGUUCUCGGGUGAUGCACCUUGAAAUUGGGCUCCCUCCUCUCUGGUUUUGGGUGUGUCACUCGAGAACCGCC